AUUGAACGCUGGCGGCAUGCUUUACACAUGCAAGUCGAACGGUAACAGGGAGCUUGCUCCGCUGACGAGUGGCGAACGGGUGAGUAAUGCAUCGGAACGUACCCAGUCGUGGGGGAUAACGUAGCGAAAGUUACGCUAAUACCGCAUACGUCCUGAGGGAGAAAGCGGGGGACCGUAAGGCCUCGCGCGAUUGGAGCGGCCGAUGUCGGAUUAGCUAGUUGGUGGGGUAAAGGCUCACCAAGGCGACGAUCUGUAGCGGGUCUGAGAGGAUGAUCCGCCACACUGGAACUGAGACACGGUCCAGACUCCUACGGGAGGCAGCAGUGGGGAAUUUUGGACAAUGGGCGCAAGCCUGAUCCAGCCAUGCCGCGUGAGUGAAGAAGGCCUCGG
RNAcentral lists this ribosomal RNA (390 nucleotides) under uncultured bacterium. RNAcentral's name for it is "bacterial SSU rRNA". It matches the Rfam family "Bacterial small subunit ribosomal RNA", at positions 30 to 420 of the family's 1533-position model. The record is from RNAcentral.